This 223-nucleotide long non-coding RNA is filed under the name Linum usitatissimum (flax). Its description in RNAcentral is "long non-coding RNA (LUSI_LNC005022)". The record is from RNAcentral. Lineage: Eukaryota; Viridiplantae; Streptophyta; Magnoliopsida; Malpighiales; Linaceae.
UUUCAUUUUCUUUGAAAUCUCUGAGACUAGGUCUUUUCUUGUCUCCUUUCUUUUUAUGAGAUCUUCUAUUUUUUAUUGAAUUAUACAUGCCACUGAUGUACAAAUGAUCAAAUGAAGGAUUGAAAGAAAGGGGAUACAAUAUUAUGAGGGGACAUAAGAAAGGCUUUCUAGUUAUGAAUUGGUUAUACCUAAGGAAAAAUAAUUGGGACGUGAUGAAUAUUUU